Molecule: long non-coding RNA, 518 nt
Organism: Macrobrachium nipponense
Lineage: Eukaryota; Metazoa; Arthropoda; Malacostraca; Decapoda; Palaemonidae
Exons: 3
Source: RefSeq, a predicted model, not a curated record
CCCCCUGAAUGAUGUAGGCUAUGGGGCCACAUAAGACUUUGUCCAUCCAGGGUUACGUUGAAUGCCAAAUUUAAACUAAAGAACCCCCUGAAUGAUGUAGGCUAUGGGGCCACAUAAGACUUUGUCCAUCCAGGGUUACGUUGAAUGCCAAAUUUAAACUAAAGAGCUACCAGACUGGGAUUUUAGUGUACUCCAGGAUCUAACAAAUACAUACGUACUACUACGAAGUGUACAGUGCAUAAUAUAGUGUUUAGUGUAUAAUCUAACCUAAGGAUUAAGUGUAGUACAUUGUGCUUUUUAGUGUCACAAGAGUUUAAUAAAGAAUUAUACCUUCAAGAACCAUCCUUUGCCAUUGGAAUAACCACACUACACAUCAUGCAAUCUACUUGCAUGUCACACAGGUAAGGUCUCUAACUUUUUCUUAGUUUAAGGCAUAUUUCCAAGUGUCGUUCCGGCUUACGACGAUUUUCGGCUUACGACGCGCCUCAAGAACGGAACCCCCGUCGUAACCCGGGGAC